This 493-nucleotide ribosomal RNA is filed under the name uncultured bacterium. RNAcentral describes it as "partial 16S ribosomal RNA". It matches the Rfam family "Bacterial small subunit ribosomal RNA", at positions 28 to 507 of the family's 1533-position model. The record is from RNAcentral.
GACGAACGCUGGCGGCGUGCCUAACACAUGCAAGUUGAGCGACGAACCAGGGCUUGCCCUGGGGCAAAGCAGCGAACGGGUGAGUAACACGUGGGUAACCUACCCCGAUAACCGGGACAACCCGAGGAAACUCGGGCUAAUACCGGAUGUGCUCACUGGACUUCGGUUCAGUGCGUAAAGGAAGCUUCGGCCUCCGUAUCGGGAGGGGCCCGCGGCCCAUUAGUUUGUUGGUGAGGUAACGGCUCACCAAGACCGCGAUGGGUAGCUGGUCUGAGAGGACGAUCAGCCACACUGGGACUGAGACACGGCCCAGACUCCUACGGGAGGCAGCAGUGGGGAAUCUUGCGCAAUGCGCGAAAACGUGACGCAGCAACGCCGCGUGGGGGAAGAAGGCCUUCGGGUUGUAAACCCCUUUCAGGAGGGACGAAGGUUCGGCGGUGAAUAGCCGUCCGGACUGACGGUACCUCCACAAGAAGCCCCGGCUAACUACGUG